CUUGCCCACCUUCCAACAUUUGGGUCAAAUCCAAUGAUAUAGUAGGUAAUGAAUACCCAUACAGCAGCUUCUAUACAAGAAAUGGGAAUCUUUAGGAUCCAUGCUGGAAGUGCAUACGCCCAUGGAGGAUAAAAGAGGAGGUCCCUUUGCUUGUAGAAAACUGGAAGCCUUGCAAUGGUCAUGGAAAGCUCUGCCAAUCCAUUAAACAGAGUUAUAAUCACGCUAAAGAACAAAGCACCAGCAUAAAUUCCUCCAUCCUCUACUGAAUCGCGGUGCAUAU
This is a long non-coding RNA of Quercus robur (English oak), 280 nucleotides long. RefSeq lists it as uncharacterized. The record is from RefSeq and is a predicted model, not a curated record. The transcript has 2 exons. NCBI's taxonomy places the organism in Eukaryota, Viridiplantae, Streptophyta, Magnoliopsida, Fagales, Fagaceae.